UACGUAGGGGGCAAGCGUUGUCCGGAAUUAUUGGGCGUAAAGAGCUCGUAGGCGGUUUGUCGCGUCUGCUGUGAAAACCCGAGGCUCAACCUCGGGCCUGCAGUGGGUACGGGCAGACUAGAGUGCGGUAGGGGAGAUUGGAAUUCCUGGUGUAGCGGUGGAAUGCGCAGAUAUCAGGAGGAACACCGAUGGCGAAGGCAGAUCUCUGGGCCGUAACUGACGCUGAGGAGCGAAAGCGUGGGGAGCGAACAGG
Molecule: ribosomal RNA, 253 nt
Filed under: uncultured bacterium
Lineage: Bacteria
Description: partial 16S ribosomal RNA
Rfam family: Bacterial small subunit ribosomal RNA
Source: RNAcentral